This 1362-nucleotide small RNA is filed under the name Pan troglodytes (chimpanzee). RNAcentral describes it as "processed transcript". The record is from RNAcentral. Lineage: Eukaryota; Metazoa; Chordata; Mammalia; Primates; Hominidae.
CCCUCUGCCUGGCCACCUGCCUGGACCACCACUUCCCCACAGGCUCCAGGCCCACCGUGCCGGGACCCCUGCACUUCAGUGGAUAUAGCAGUGUGCCAGAUGGGAAGCCGCUGGUCCGCGAGCCGUGCCGCAGCUGUGCCGUGGUGUCCAGCUCCGGCCAAAUGCUGGGCUCAGGCCUGGGUGCUGAGAUCGACGGUGCCGAGUGCGUGUUCCGCAUGAACCAGGCGCCCACCGUGGGCUUUGAGGCGGAUGUGGGCCAGCGCAGCACCCUGCGUGUCAUCUCACACACAAGCGUGCCGCUGCUGCUGCGCAACUAUUCACACUACUUCCAGAAGGCCCGAGACACGCUCUACGUGGUGUGGGGCCAGGGCAGGCACAUGGACCGGGUGCUCGGCGGCCGCACCUACCGCACGCUGCUGCAGCUCACCAGGAUGUACCCCGGCCUGCAGGUGUACACCUUCACGGAGCGCAUGAUGGCCUACUGCGACCAGAUCUUCCAGGACGAGACGGGCAAGAACCGACUGGUCAUGAGGCUCAGAGAGGUUCACGAGCAAAUGUGAUGCCCAUAGCAGAGCCAGGGUUCAAGUGGAAGAUCCUUGGACUCUAGAGAACCCCCACCUGACUUCAAACCACGGUGCCCUGCUGCCUCAUGCUGUCUCCCCAGGCCUGGUCCCUUAGAUGAGGAGAGGACGUGGCCAGAGCCCCCACACCCAUCAUCCAGGGGUUUGCUCAAACCCUGCAAAGCGUAGCUGGGCCCGAGCCCCGCUGGGUGCUGAGGAGGUGAUCAGGCCUGGGUUUGUGUGCCGCUCUGCCUGUCACCCACUGCUGGCCUUGGGCUGGCUCUGCCCCCUCCCCAGCCUCCCCCAGAGUCCCCCGCAAGAGGUUGAGGUGCGUAGCCCUGGGCUGGCAAAGUACCAAGUGCUGCUGGGGCCUGGAGCUACCACAUGGCCCCUUGUUGACAGCAUCCCCCUGUCCCCCUGCCACCCCCAGGAGGCAGUCGGGCUCCUUCCUCAGCACCGGCUGGUUCACCAUGAUCCUCGCGCUGGAGCUGUGUGAGGAGAUCGUGGUCUAUGGGAUGGUCAGCGACAGCUACUGCAGGGAGAAGAGCCACCCCUCAGUGCCUUACCACUACUUUGAGAAGGGCCGGCUAGAUGAGUGUCAGAUGUACCUGGCACACGAGCAGGCGCCCCGAAGCGCCCACCGCUUCAUCACUGAGAAGGCGGUCUUCUCCCGCUGGGCCAAGAAGAGGCCCAUCGUGUUCGCCCAUCCAUCCUGGAGGACUGAGUAGCUUCUGUCACCCUGCCAGCCGCCAUGCCAUUGCGAGGCCUCCGGGAUGUCCCAUCCCAAGCCAUCACACUCCAC